RNAcentral lists this long non-coding RNA (1477 nucleotides) under Bos indicus x Bos taurus (hybrid cattle). Its description in RNAcentral is "lncRNA (ENSBIXG00005031249.1)". The record is from RNAcentral. Lineage: Eukaryota; Metazoa; Chordata; Mammalia; Artiodactyla; Bovidae.
GAGAAAACCGAAACAAAUGUCAGCUUUAUUUUUUAAAGAUUUAGUUGUUGGAAUGGACAAGCAAAACAAGUCUCAGCAAGGCAUCCAAUAAUUAUUCACACUAAAAUAUCAGCUCAGUUUUGCUUCUGGAAAGCAUUCCUAUUCUCUCUUUGGAGGAAAAGAGUUGUAUCUAAACUCAUUCAUUCCAUGUAUAGCAAAACAGACAACUAGAAACUCAGGUUCUAGUCUUUGUUUCUCAAAUUAAUAGGCCUAGUAUUUCUAAUCCUCAUUUUUUCUGACUCAUAAAAUGUGGUUGAUGGAUAUGAAUAUCAAGUAAUUUGACAUGUACAAAUGUGUGCAGUACAAAAGCCAAGUAUUAUUCCAGCAUGAAAUUAUUAAUGGCUCAUUGCUCAUAUACUCUUAUUCAUUAUGAAACCUAGAAUCCUAGAAAGGUAGAGACAGAAUAAAGCAAGUGUCAAUAAAUAUUAUUGGUAAAGGAACCUUUACCUUUGCUCUUCUUUGCUUUAUUAUUUCUUCUGAAAGACCACAAAGAUCACUCCUCUUUCUUUUUUCUCCAGCUGCCCCAGCACAUUUUGAUCUUCUGAAGUCCUUCCCCAUCAGCCUGCCAGUAGAGAACCCUCACAUUAUGGACCAUGAUCUGAAACACCGAUGCAGACAAAUUAAGACAUCCCCAGGCACUCAGUGUCAAGUAGAUCAUUUGUAAAUUAAGGAAACUCUUGACAAGUACCUGCAAUUUUAAUAUUCUUCUGCUUCUCAAAGGAAGAAAAAAUCACCUUAGGUCAUUUCCGGCAGAUAAAAUUUGGAUCUCCUGUAUAUACUGGAUGAAAAGGGACAUGUAUGAAUUAGCUUUUACUGCACUCUAUAUUGCAAAAAGAUUAUAGCUUGCCAUAAACUUAACUCAUAAAAUGACAUUCAGUGUAAGUUAUUUCUUUUCAGAGAGAUUCCCAUGGAAUGCCUGUAGUUUUAAAAUAGUUCUCAUUGUUUAUUGAACUACUUGAAAGAAAUCAAAAGUGAUUAUGCUUAUGUUUUCUUAAAGAAGAAAAAAAGUUAGAUUUUAAUCUCUUCAUGCUCCCUCUAUGAGAGUAUGUUCCAGCUGAGAAAUGGGACAAAACAGGAAAUACUUUAUGAUUUUUUUUAUGUGAAAGGGGGACCAUAGCAUCACUUCUGUUUAGUUUAUAAUUUUUCAAGUGUUGCCAGCCUUUCAUCCCCUCCUGAUGGGGUACUUCUUAACUUUCAUCAUACACAGUUAUACAAAUGGGUACUAACAGAGGAAAAAUUACAUGAAUUAUUUAGGAAAGCCAAGUUCUUUAAGCAUUACUGUGAAAAAUAACAUUCUUAUCAUUUGUGUAUAAAAAGCCAACAUUUACUUAUUCUGGAUAAAAAUGAAAUAUGUUCUUAUGCCAGUUAUUGAAAAAUUUGUAUAUAGACAUGAUACCAUGUAUAUAUAAUAUAUUAUAUUUAAUGAAUAAAAUAACUU